This 699-nucleotide long non-coding RNA is filed under the name Homo sapiens (human). Its description in RNAcentral is "non-protein coding lnc-PON3-2:7". The record is from RNAcentral. Lineage: Eukaryota; Metazoa; Chordata; Mammalia; Primates; Hominidae.
AGAAAAUUCUCUGUUGCAUCUGAAAACAGUCAAACAUGAGCUUCUUCCAAGUGUGAAUGACAUCACAGCUGUUGGACCGGCACAUUUCUAUGCCACAAAUGACCACUACUUCUCUGAUCCUUUCUUAAAGUAUUUAGAAACAUACUUGAACUUACACUGGGCAAAUGUUGUUUACUACAGUCCAAAUGAAGUUAAAGUGGUAGCAGAAGGAUUUGAUUCAGCAAAUGGGAUCAAUAUUUCACCUGAUGAUAAGUAUAUCUAUGUUGCUGACAUAUUGGCUCAUGAAAUUCAUGUUUUGGAAAAACACACUAAUAUGAAUUUAACUCAGUUGAAGAUUUUGACAAUUUCUCAUUUGGAAGGUACUUGAGCUGGAUACACUGGUGGAUAAUUUAUCUAUUGAUCCUUCCUCGGGGGACAUCUGGGUAGGCUGUCAUCCUAAUGGCCAGAAGCUCUUCGUGUAUGACCCGAACAAUCCUCCCUCGUCAGAGGUUCUCCGCAUCCAGAACAUUCUAUCUGAGAAGCCUACAGUGACUACAGUUUAUGCCAACAAUGGGUCUGUUCUCCAAGGAAGUUCUGUAGCCUCAGUGUAUGAUGGGAAGCUGCUCAUAGGCACUUUAUACCACAGAGCCUUGUAUUGUGAACUCUAAAUUGUACUUUUGGCAUGAAAGUGCGAUAACUUAACAAUUAAUUUUCUAUGAA